Long non-coding RNA from Acipenser ruthenus (sterlet), 750 nucleotides. RefSeq lists it as uncharacterized. The record is from RefSeq and is a predicted model, not a curated record. Lineage: Eukaryota; Metazoa; Chordata; Actinopteri; Acipenseriformes; Acipenseridae. The transcript has 3 exons.
UCUUUUUAAUUGUUAGUUAUAUUUUUUCAAUGUAAUUGUCUGCACAUUAUGAAAAGCUUCAUUCAUUCGUUGGUUUAGGCGUGUGUAUGGACAGGCUAAUAUGUAUGUCGUCAGAUAGACUUCGGUCUCUUCACAAUAAGUGCUCAAUAAGAGAACAUCAUUAAAGUUGGUCAAAUCUGUAUUUGUAUAAUGUUCCACUGAAACGCUGUCAAAGUCUUACACGAGUGUUCCCCGGUAUUUUGAUGGCAGAUGCGUUUACAUGCAGCUCUGAGUUGAAAGGGAGCCGUCCUGCGUGGUGUAAUGUGAGUCUGACGCUGCACCGCCCAGAGUGUGUGGUAUUUUCCUCUGCAGCCCUGCAUAGCAGCGUUGCUGUCGGGUCGAUAAGAGAUGUUCAAAUCUUUUACAUGAAAAAUAGACUUCACAAACACUCUUCACAGCUUUAAAAUACGCAGUGACUUCAUUUUAACGCGAAUUCAACGCUGUUUCGGUCAUGCCUCGUCAUUCUGCUUGGCUCUUGGUAGCUGCCCUGUCUAUGCUUGUUUUGAAAGGGUUAGCCUUUGAUGAUGAUUUUAACCUUGAAGAUGCCCUUGUUGAUACACCUACAAAACCACCUGCUCCAAAACCUAAGCCAGCCGGGGGCCCUUCAGGUGGAUCUAAAGGUACGCCUCCGCGGUGAACAAUGUGUCUCUGUGUGUGUGUGUCUCUCUUGCCCUGUUUACACGAGCCACUUUUAAGUCAGCUUUGAGGCAG